Molecule: ribosomal RNA, 573 nt
Filed under: Streptomyces sp. XKS2
Lineage: Bacteria; Bacillati; Actinomycetota; Actinomycetes; Kitasatosporales; Streptomycetaceae
Description: bacterial SSU rRNA
Rfam family: Bacterial small subunit ribosomal RNA
Source: RNAcentral
CCUACGGGAGGCAGCAGUGGGGAAUAUUGCACAAUGGGCGCAAGCCUGAUGCAGCGACGCCGCGUGAGGGAUGAAGGCCUUCGGGUUGUAAACCUCUUUCAGCAGGGAAGAAGCUCUUGAGUGACGGUACCUGCAGAAGAAGCGCCGGCUAACUACGUGCCAGCAGCCGCGGUAAUACGUAGGGCGCGAGCGUUGUCCGGUGAUUAUUGGGCGUAAAGAGCUCGUAGGCGGUUUGUCGCGUCGGCUGUGAAAGCCCGGGGCUUAACUCCGGGUCUGCAGUCGAUACGGGCAGGCUAGAGUUCGGUAGGGGAGAUCGGAAUUCCUGGUGUAGCGGUGAAAUGCGCAGAUAUCAGGAGGAACACCGGUGGCGAAGGCGGAUCUCUGGGCCGAUACUGACGCUGAGGAGCGAAAGCGUGGGGAGCGAACAGGAUUUUUAUACCCCGGUAGUCCACGCCGUAUACGGAGGGCACUAGGUGUGGGCGUAUUCCACGUACGUACGUGCCGUAGCUUACGAAUUAAGUGACCCGCCUGGGGAGUACGGACGAAAGGCUAAUACUCUAAAGGAAUUGUCGG